Molecule: ribosomal RNA, 449 nt
Filed under: uncultured bacterium
Lineage: Bacteria
Description: bacterial SSU rRNA
Rfam family: Bacterial small subunit ribosomal RNA
Source: RNAcentral
CACCAGACUCCUACGGGAGGCAGCAGUGGGGAAUAUUGCACAAUGGGGGAAACCCUGAUGCAGCGACGCCGCGUGAGCGAUGAAGUAUUUCGGUAUGUAAAGCUCUCUCAGCAGGGAAGAAAAUGACGGUACCUGACUAAGAAGCCCCGGCUAACUACGUGCCAGCAGCCGCGGUAAUACGUAGGGGGCAAGCGUUAUCCGGAUUUACUGGGUGUAAAGGGAGCGUAGACGGCUGUGCAAGCCAGAUGUGAAAGCCCGGGGCUCAACCCCGGGACUGCAUUUGGAACUGUGUGGCUGGAGUGUCGGAGAGGCAGGCGGAAUUCCUAGUGUAGCGGUGAAAUGCGUAGAUAUUAGGAGGAACACCAGUGGCGAAGGCGGCCUGCUGGACGAUGACUGACGUUGAGGCUCGAAAGCGUGGGGAGCAAACAGGAUUAGAUACCCGCGUACUC